UGCAUGUGCAAAGGCACGGAGGCACACAAGUUUGCAACACUGGGGCAGUGUGAGCAAUUCAGAAGGAGUAUCAGCAAGGUGCUGCCUUGCUUCAGUGACACAUCAUGGGCCAAGUUCCUUAGCUUAGCUGGCAGAGCCUGGCAUGAGACAAUCCCUGCCCACCUUCCCAAGCCCAUAUCUUGCUUCACAACCACCAGCCACAUGGGGUCCCGUUUGCCUUUGGAUCAUCCUAAUACCCAGAUCAAUCUCUGGUGCUAUACUUGAUGGAAAUUUGUUGAAAGAAGAAAGGAAAACAUCAACGAAUGAAUGGAUAAAUGGAUGAAAGAUUUGGAAAGAGGUUGGUCUGGAUAUCUGCCAUUAGUUUCUCCAGGUCUGAUCUCCACCCUUCUUCAUCCAAUUCUGUGUCGUGGAAGGGUGACCAGUAUGAACCAUAUCAGUAGCUACCCUCUGGGUUGGAUUCAGCCAAAAUGGAGAAGCUAAGGGAGAGAAAGGAGUUGGUGCUGCCAACCAGCUGCAUCUCUCCCUGGAUGGUCUCUGUAAGGGAUCGCCUCACACAAUCUCUGCUUCUAGGGAAGGACCCAAGUUGCAAAUUGUGGAGGUGAAUGUCAAGAAAUGCUGAGUUCCCAGAGAGGAGAUGGUGGGAGACCAGUCAAGAAAACAUUAAAGGGAGGCCGCAAUUAUGAGAUAUUUUGAAACUUGAUGAGAAUGUCUAUACUUCUAGUGAGGUGGAUGACACUAAUGUCACAGUUCCUACGGAGCUAUGGGCACCACCAUAUCCAUUCAAUGAUUCUUCAUUCUGACCACUCCCUGUCUUCUCUUACAGAAACACAGCACUCCAAAAAGUCAUAACUCUUGAAAAGGGUUCAGGGAUGAUGGUCAGGGGUGUCCCCGCACAGAUAACACAGAGAUACCAGCUGAGAAAGUAAGUGGGUGAAGAGUAAGUUGGGAACUUGGGUGAAUUUUAGAAGAGCAGACAUGGGCAUGAGGAAGAGACCGAGGAGUCAACUAGAAAGGAGCAAGAUGAUCGCUGAGUUACACAUGGAAAGAGUAUUAGUUAAACACUGAGCUUUCCACAUGCUGUUCUGUGCCCCUCCAGAGAAGGCUGGUGGAGAAAAAAAGCCACUUUAGCUCUCAAUAAAUACAUUUUCAAAGAUUAGAGUCCAGACUGGGAAAGAAAACAAACAGAAUUUUUUGCCUGCAAGGUAAUUCAUAGUAAUCCACUGGGAGGGCCUUGGGAAAUUCAAAGCAUUAUGUUAGGAGUGUGAAAAGGUAGCACUUUUAAUAAAUUUCCCAUUAUUUCCGACUGAAUAGGUCAAGCAGUAAACACUGUUCAAUACUGGCCUUUUAUUGUGGCUUGGGAAAUUUUGGAAAGCAUUAUGAUUCUUUAAUAAGCCCAUCGAGUAUAAUGUUUCUAUUGGGACAUAUACUUGUGGGUCUCUACACACAAAGGCACACCUCGCUGUGGCUGGAGACAAAAGGCCACUGCUGUCUUCCUGAAAGGGGCCUUGCAGUCUCCUGCCUGCAAUCAACAGUAUGAUCCCUCUGGGUCCUGCAUUGGAGGGGUGAGUGGAGUAGGGUUGAGGUGGGAAAAUCUGAGUUAUUAAAUGCUGUUGGAAAAACCCACUCAACCUUGAGAACUGUCCACUCUCUCCUACGCCCAGCCCUCACCAAAGCUAAGUGUUCCUUCUAUUUAACUCCCAUUGACUCUGUCUUCUGUUCAUUCAGUGGCCAUGGUAACACCUGUCAUGUGAGUUUUCCACUCCAACAAUAUCCUCUUUCCACCCUGUUCAUUGCAAAUCCCUGGCUUCCCUCUCUCAUAGUACAUGACAUGCUCACUUGUUUUCCUGGGAAACACUUGUUUUCCUGGGAAGACUUAUUAAUUAAUUAAAUAAUUUUUAUUGUGUUAUUUUAGUCACCAUACAGUACAUCGUUAGUUUUUGAUGU
This is a long non-coding RNA of Mustela erminea (ermine), 1944 nucleotides long. RefSeq lists it as uncharacterized. The transcript is spliced from 3 exons. The record is from RefSeq and is a predicted model, not a curated record. Lineage: Eukaryota; Metazoa; Chordata; Mammalia; Carnivora; Mustelidae.